GACGAAGGGUGCAAGCGUUAUCCGGAUUCACUGGGGUUAAAGGGUGCGUAGGCGGAUAGGUAAGUCCGUGGUGAAAUCCUGCAGCUUAACUGCAGAACUGCCAUGGAUACUAUUUAUCUUGAAUGUCGUGGAGGUUAGCAGAAUAUGUCAUGUAGCGGUGAAAUGCUUAGAUAUGACAUAGAACACCAAUUGCGAAGGCAGCUUACUACCCGAAUAUUGACACUGAGGCACGAAAGCGUGGGGAUCAAACAGG
RNAcentral lists this ribosomal RNA (253 nucleotides) under uncultured bacterium. RNAcentral's name for it is "partial 16S ribosomal RNA". It matches the Rfam family "Bacterial small subunit ribosomal RNA", at positions 524 to 776 of the family's 1533-position model. The record is from RNAcentral.